Molecule: transfer RNA, 73 nt
Filed under: Camelus bactrianus (Bactrian camel)
Lineage: Eukaryota; Metazoa; Chordata; Mammalia; Artiodactyla; Camelidae
Also listed under: 2 other names
Rfam family: tRNA
About the family: Transfer RNA (tRNA) molecules are approximately 80 nucleotides in length. Their secondary structure includes four short double-helical elements and three loops (D, anti-codon, and T loops).
Source: Rfam by way of RNAcentral
GAGGGUAUAGCUCAAGUGGUAGAGCACAUGCUUAGCAUACACGAGGUCCUGGGUUCAAUUCCCAGUACCUCCA